UCUCUGAUCCAUCCUCGCCUGCAGGGCAUCCUGAGCGGUCCUCACCUCUCGAAGGUUACCUAUAAUGGAACCCUGAGUGGCUUCAAUGAGUGCAAUGUGUUGCUGAAAACUUGAUGCAUAAUAUGAUAAAAUAAAAUAAAAAUAAAAGUAAAUAAAUGCGAAAAAGUAAAAUGAAAGAAAAACCAUGGGUUGCCUCCCAC
Molecule: long non-coding RNA, 200 nt
Filed under: Lathyrus oleraceus (garden pea)
Lineage: Eukaryota; Viridiplantae; Streptophyta; Magnoliopsida; Fabales; Fabaceae
Description: Pisum sativum (pea) long non-coding RNA (PSAT_LNC014208)
Source: RNAcentral